Unclassified non-coding RNA from Mesocricetus auratus (golden hamster), 116 nucleotides. Ensembl annotates it as predicted gene, 56050. NCBI's taxonomy places the organism in Eukaryota, Metazoa, Chordata, Mammalia, Rodentia, Cricetidae. The record is from Ensembl.
CACCGUUUCAGUGGCAUUUAAAUCCCCGGCGCUCCUCAGUCUAGGUGACGCGCGGUCGCCCCCCCAGGCAGCCCGGGCCGCGGCGGCCGCUGCCAGAGCUGACUUGGAGCACUGGG